Molecule: ribosomal RNA, 477 nt
Filed under: uncultured bacterium
Lineage: Bacteria
Description: bacterial SSU rRNA
Rfam family: Bacterial small subunit ribosomal RNA
Source: RNAcentral
UCAGUCGACUCCUACGGGGAGGCAGCAGUGGGGGAAUAUUGCACAAUGGGCGCAAGCCUGAUGCAGCCAUGCCGCGUGUAUGAAGAAGGCCUUCGGGUUGUAAAGUACUUUCAGCAGUGAGGAAGGUGGGUAUGUUAAUAGCAUAUUCAUUUGACGUUAGCUGCAGAAGAAAGCACCGGCUAACUCCGUGCCAGCAGCCGCGGUAAUACGGAGGGUGCGAGCGUUAAUCGGAAUUACUGGGCGUAAAGCGCAUGCAGGUGGUUUGUUAAGUCAGAUGUGAAAGCCCGGGGCUCAACCUCGGAAUUGCAUUUGAAACUGGCAAACUAGAGUACUGUAGAGGGGGGUAGGAAUUUCAGGUGUAGCGGUGAAAUGCGUAGAGAUCUGAAGGAAUACCGGUGGCGAAGGCGGCCCCCUGGACAGAUACUGACACUCAGAUGCGAAAGCGUGGGGAGCAAACAGGAUUAGAUACCCUGGUAG